UUAUUACUUUUGUUAUUUGCUUUCACGCAAUCUAUUGUCGAAGCCCAGCAAACGCGUCCUGAAGGUUAUGGUGUUGCUGCUAAACUAAAAGAGACGACACGAUUUGCCACUUUUGGGAAUGGGAAGUUCUAUCACACUCAGCAUGGCGCCUGGCUGAUUACCAUUAGUUCAAAUCGUUGCAGCAUGACUUAGCUGGCACGCGGAUCCGCAAAGUUGAAGAAGUGCGAAAAUGAGUCGAUCGAUGGGUCGCCGCCAAAUCAAUAAAAGUGCUUUCGACAUGCAUGAUAACGCCAUGCCGUCAAAUAUGAUGAAAACUACUUCGAUUAAUGUGCAUUGUAGCAUAUUUUUCUCAAUAAAUGCCUCUUCCAAGUGACCAAAAUUUUUGCAAACACGCAAUAAUUUUUAGUGUGAAAAUUAUUCUGAAUGUCUUGCCAAUGCGCCUCAUAAUUGGUCCAUCGUUCGUUUAAGUGAGCUUGUUUUAUUUGCCAUUUUCGCAAAUGAUGAGCUUCUGAUUUGGUCCAAGCUUGUAUUUCUUCAUUCAGUAGAGUGCAGUGUGUAACCUUCAAAGGUGAAAAAUGUGCGUCAAGACGAACAACAGGCAUGACAUGAAAUGUGUUUUUUCAUUUGUUUAAGUUUUCAAUAAAACAAAAAGCAUAUUAAACUAGUAACCACUAGUUGAAUGCAUUCAACAUUUCUUCUCGAUUGAUGGGAAGGAUUAUGCGCAGUAACGGUUUUAGCGUUUGUGAGCGUAGGCGCGGACAUGUCAAAUAUUAUACGGUUUUCGUUCGUCUGUCAACUUGAUAGAUAAAAACAAACUCAACGCAGCUUAGUUCCUGGCGAGCCCUAACACCUGGCGGUUUUUUAACGCUCAAUGAUUUUUUUCCAGUACCUUAAACUUUCUUUAAGAGCAUCAACUAAAAGCUAUGAAAAAAAAAUUAAGAAUUGUGUUUUUACAUUAAAUUUACACACAACUAAGAUUCGAUAAGUGUGUCUGUGUCUGUGCAUUUGUCAACGUGUCGACGUGUCAACAUAAGAGCUCAAGUUUCUAUGUAUAUACAUGCAUAUAUAGACAACCGAAGUUUCAUCUUGAAUAUACCCAAGCUGGAUCAAAUGAUGACAAUCGAUGCGGUUAAUCAAGCAUGCAAUGAAAAUGAGAAAGUGGAACGAAACACUAACUCUGAAGAAGAUGACUCAUCCACCGAAUGGAACAAUUGUGUACGAUUUUCGGAUAAACCACCUUUGGUGAAGCGUUUAACGAUGGGUUUUCUAAAAGCCCAUGAGGAGUCGAGACCUUUAGUUAAUUUAGAUACACCCACAGGAGAAGUUAAAACUGAAGAAAACUCAAUUUCAAGAGAUACGGAGAUUUCGAUAGACCUACAAAUCUAUUCUAAUGGUUAUGUUAAUGAAGACAACUUCGGACCUGAUACUUUCAUUAGUAGUAAAUUCGGCGACUCUUGCCGUCAGUCAUUAACAGCUUUCCCAGCAUUGGAUAUACCUAAUGUGAACGAUAGUAGUGAAUAUAAAUUAAGGAACAGGCACCUUCGAGAAACGAGCAGCGCGAAUUCGAGUCCAAAGACAUUUGCAAACCGUUUAAAAUCAACGCAUCCGAAAUACAAUCAGACCAGUACUAGUUCAGAAAAAAGCGAAUGUUGGUCGUCUGAAAAAGAAGAGAUUGAACUUAAAGAUGCGCCGUGGUUUCAAGCUGGUAUUUCUAGAGAAAUAGCUGAAGAGGUAUUGGCUUCGAAAAGCCCGGGUGCCUUUUUCGUUAGACGUAGUGCAUCAAAGCUUGGCUGUUACGCAUUGACACUUAGAAUAUCAUCGCCUGUAGAACCUAAGACGGCUAAUUAUAUUAUAUUAAAUACCGUCAACGGUUACAAAAUUAAGGGAUUUCGAAAAGAAUUCAAAACGCUGAAGGCCUUAAUAACGCAUCAUUCUGUAAUGCCCGAACUGUUGCCUGUACCGUUGGCCCUGCCCAGACCUCCAAAUCUAUCCAGCUCUCGUCGAAAUAUGGACGAUUUCGAUACUUACGAAUCUUUGAAGAUGUUUUUCCAAUAUAUAGAAGCCAAUAAUCGGAUGGACACUUAAAGAUUUAUAAUCCGACCAUUGAUUUUAAUAGCUUACAGCGCAUCUACAGCGAAAGAAUUUUUUAUGGAUUUUUUCUUUUCUUUCUUUACCGGGAUACUAUGUGCCGAAUCCCGAAGGGCGAGGAACGGAAAAAAGCGCAA
Glossina fuscipes is the source of this 2225-nucleotide RNA transcript. RefSeq lists it as uncharacterized. The record is from RefSeq and is a predicted model, not a curated record. The transcript has 7 exons. NCBI's taxonomy places the organism in Eukaryota, Metazoa, Arthropoda, Insecta, Diptera, Glossinidae.